CUCUGUUGGAAACCCUAACUCUUUAACCCUCCCUCCCUCAGAUCCGCCGCGCCUCCUCUCAUAGUCGCCGCACCUCCCUUCCUCUUCGUGGCCGGCCCCGCCACCGGCGGCGCCCCCCCUCCACUGCUCCUCGCGUCCCCGCCUCCUACCUUAGCUCCACGCAUCCCCCACUCCUACCCCGGCUGGCCCGUGGUGAAGGGGCGCACGACACAGGCCUCGCGAAGCCCCGAGCCCAGCAUAGAGGCGGCGCGCUGGUGCCACUCGGAGCAACACCAUGCCGCGAUGAGCUGCUGCUGCGGUCGACAGAUUCGGGGGCGCGGUCGAUGGAUCCGAGCUGCUACCAGGCAAGGCCUCAUCGGGCGGGCCGCCGCUGCACAUGGCCGCUUCACCACCCGCACCUGCCGCUGCUCCUUCUCCAAUCCAGCGGCGGGAAGGGAUCCAGUGGCUCCAGGCCUGUUGCUUGCGGCGGCGGGAGGUAGGCGGCCGUGGCCGCAAAAUCACGGCGGCGCUCGGCCUCGUCCGCUAGCGCGAGGAGCCCCUCCGCGAACGCCGACAACGCGGACGCGGCGGCGAACGACAUGGCAGUGGCAGUUCUACUCCGGCACACACGGCUCGACAGCCAAAGCGAUGCUCCUCUCUCCCUCUCCCCUCUGAUCUGCGCCCCUCUCCUCAACCUCGCAGGAUCCAGGGCGCGUCCGCUGCGAUGGGUGGGAGUGGUUGGAUUGUUUGGUUGGCUUCACUUCUUGCUCUUGAUUUGGUGCUCUGCUCCGCCGAUGCCAGCCUCGGGGAUGCUGAACCAUGGUACAGGUGAGAUGCUGUAAUGUGUUACAGUGCAAUUCUAGUAACAUAGCUUUUAUGGAACAAUAUGCAAAAGAUAAUCCAGUAGCAUUACUUCAGCCUUCAUGAUUGUGCAAGAUAUUUCAGUAUUGAUCUUGCUUGUGUUACAGGAAGUGUGAUAUGGUUGGGGGUAUAACAUCUGCUGUUUGAUUUCAGUGGGUGGUGAAUAUAAAUCGAAGGGAAACUUGAAAUUAGCGUUGUUCUGGUUUUCUGCUAUCAUUUUCUAUUUUUGCCAAGCUGCUAAGGUACCUUAUCUCCUGGAAUUUGUUUCUGUUAGUGCAAGUUUAACUACUCUGAUGAUCUUGUAGAUCACCAUUGUGCCAUAUUCGGCUGGGGAUAACCAACUUAAAUGUAAAUUACCGCUGUUCAUGUCAUAACUCACAGCAGCAUCAGUGUGAAUGAGAUGUUAAGAGUGCUAGUUUGCAAAGAUCCAUGCUUGCGAGAUUACUGCAGGCAAUACUUUUCAGUUGGGAACGAAAUGAAAUCUGAAUUUGAACAGGCCCUGCUCACCAGUGAGGAUGGUAAAAUUCUUUGAGAAUUAGGAUACUGUGGUGCUCUUAACUGUGAGAUCGCCACAUUAUGCACACAUUAUGUUCGGAAAGUUAACUGAAUCCUUUUACUUGGUUAUUGUGUUUGAGUCUUCUACUUGGUUACCAUGUUGGUUGACACUAACCACAUGAAUCCUAGGUACUCUGUAUUUUACUUGCCUGCACAUGUCAUUUGCACGAUAGAUCUCUUUUUCAUUAUCUGGAGACACAGGUGCUCAGUAUUUGGUUUCACUACUAAGGUCAUUUAGACCGGAAGAAUGGCAGAGGUGGCUGUAAGGUUAUUUAAAGGGCUAAAGAAUUGGCGGUUAGAAUAGAAGAGAAGCCUCACAGAGAAGAAAUCAUUGUAGCCAAAUGUGCUGCCACAACAGUCAUCAAAACUGAGUGGUGAAAAAGAAUUCUUUGCUUGGUUGCUGCUGCUGGUUCAUACUCUUGGUGAAACCUAUCUUUUGUUUUUUUCUGGUCCAUUUUGUUGUCUUUGGUCCCGCAAUGUUAGAUUGCUAGUUCUGAUUCAUGGAAAACACUGUAUGUGAUCCAUUAUUUUGGUGUCAUGAUGCUUGAUGGAAAUAUUAUUGAUAUGAGGUUAUAAUUUGGACUGUAAUUGCUUAUUGUGACUUUUGGGCAGGAACUUUUGUUUUGGUAAA
Long non-coding RNA from Panicum virgatum (switchgrass), 2026 nucleotides. RefSeq lists it as uncharacterized. NCBI's taxonomy places the organism in Eukaryota, Viridiplantae, Streptophyta, Magnoliopsida, Poales, Poaceae. The transcript has 2 exons. The record is from RefSeq and is a predicted model, not a curated record.